RNAcentral lists this ribosomal RNA (250 nucleotides) under uncultured bacterium. RNAcentral's name for it is "partial 16S ribosomal RNA". It matches the Rfam family "Bacterial small subunit ribosomal RNA", at positions 524 to 773 of the family's 1533-position model. The record is from RNAcentral.
UACGUAGGUGGCGAGCGUUGUCCGGAAUUACUGGGCGUAAAGGAUGAGUAGGCGGCCUAUUAAGUCGGGCGUGAAAUAUCAGGGCUCAACCCUGAUCUUGCAUUCGAUACUGGUAGGCUUGAGGGCAGGAGAGGAAAGCGGAAUUCCCGGUGUAGCGGUAAAAUGCGUAGAUAUCGGGAGGAACACCAGUGGCGAAGGCGGCUUUCUGGACUGUACCUGACGCUGAGUCAUGAAAGCCAGGGGAGCAAAC